Non-coding RNA from Phrynosoma platyrhinos (Desert horned lizard), 72 nucleotides. NCBI's taxonomy places the organism in Eukaryota, Metazoa, Chordata, Lepidosauria, Squamata, Phrynosomatidae. The record is from the annotation of a GenBank genome assembly.
GGUAGGGUGGUGUAAUGGUUUGAGUGCUGGACUAUGACUCUGAAGAGCAGGGUUCAAUUCCUUGCUUGGCCA